RNAcentral lists this non-coding RNA (202 nucleotides) under Clostridium chauvoei. RNAcentral's name for it is "T-box sequence". It matches the Rfam family "T-box leader". Rfam says of the family: Uncharged tRNA acts as the effector for transcription antitermination of genes in the T-box leader family. The record is from RNAcentral. Lineage: Bacteria; Bacillati; Bacillota; Clostridia; Eubacteriales; Clostridiaceae.
AUUAAACCUAUGAAGAGGCUAGUAAUAGUAUUAUUUGUUUUAAGAGAGUCGAUGGUUGGUGUGAAUCGAUAGCAAAGUAUUAUGAAUCCACCUUGGAGGGACUGUGAUGAGCAGUACGGAUUUAACCGUUAUAUUUUUUAAGAGGAUAGUAUAAUAUUAUAUUAUCAAUUAGGGUGGCAACGCGGAGUCUUUCGUCCCUUUU